RNAcentral lists this non-coding RNA (29 nucleotides) under Rattus norvegicus (Norway rat). Lineage: Eukaryota; Metazoa; Chordata; Mammalia; Rodentia; Muridae. The record is from RNAcentral.
ACCUCUGGAUAUUGCUUAGCUGAUGUGCA